RNAcentral lists this ribosomal RNA (500 nucleotides) under uncultured bacterium. Its description in RNAcentral is "bacterial SSU rRNA". It matches the Rfam family "Bacterial small subunit ribosomal RNA", at positions 28 to 526 of the family's 1533-position model. The record is from RNAcentral.
GAUGAACGCUGGCGGCGUGCCUAACACAUGCAAGUCGAACGGGUUUAUACGGACGGCGGCUUCGGCCAAAGACUGUAAAAAACUAGUGGCGGACGGGUGAGUAACGCGUGGAUAAUCUGCCCUCUGGCGGGGAAUAACUGUGAGAAAUCACAGCUAAUACCGCAUAAGCCUCCGGUAUGGCAUCAUACUGAAGGAAAAGAUUUAUCACCAGAGGAGGAGUCCGCGUCUGAUUAGCUAGUUGGUGGGGUAAAGGCUUACCAAGGCGAUGAUCAGUAGCCGGCAUGAGAGGGUGAACGGCCACAUUGGGACUGAGACACGGCCCAAACUCCUACGGGAGGCAGCAGUGGGGAAUAUUGCACAAUGGGGGAAACCCUGAUGCAGCGACGCCGCGUGAGGGAAGAAGGUUUUCGGAUUGUAAACCUCUGUCUUUGGGGAAGAGUAGAAGACGGUACCCAAGGAGGAAGCCACGGCUAACUACGUGCCAGCCGCCGCCGUAAUAC